Molecule: ribosomal RNA, 465 nt
Filed under: uncultured bacterium
Lineage: Bacteria
Description: partial 16S ribosomal RNA
Rfam family: Bacterial small subunit ribosomal RNA
Source: RNAcentral
GACGAACGCUGGCGGCGUGCUUAACACAUGCAAGUCGAACGGAAAGGCCCUGCUUGCAGGGUACUCGAGUGGCGAACGGGUGAGUAACACGUGGGUGAUCUGCCCUGCACUUCGGGAUAAGCCUGGGAAACUGGGUCUAAUACCGGAUAGGAGCCAUUUUUAGUGUGAUGGUUGGAAAGUUUUUUCGGUGUAGGAUGAGCUCGCGGCCUAUCAGCUUGUUGGUGGGGUAAUGGCCUACCAAGGCGGCGACGGGUAGCCGGCCUGAGAGGGUGGACGGCCACAUUGGGACUGAGAUACGGCCCAGACGCCUACGGGAGGCAGCAGUGGGGAAUAUUGCACAAUGGGCGCAAGCCUGAUGCAGCGACGCCGCGUGGGGGAUGACGGCCUUCGGGUUGUAAACUCCUUUCGCUAGGGACGAAGCUUUUUGUGACGGUAACUAGAUAAGAAGCACCGGCUAACUACGUG